ACCAUGCAAGUCGAACGGUAGCACGGAGAGCUUGCUCUCGGGUGACGAGUGGCGGACGGGUGAGUAAUGUCUGGGAAACUGCCCGAUGGAGGGGGAUAACUACUGGAAACGGUAGCUAAUACCGCAUAAUGUCUCAAGACCAAAGAGGGGGACCUUCGGGCCUCUUGCCAUCGGAUGUGCCCAGAUGGGAUUAGCUAGUAGGUGGGGUAACGGCUCACCUAGGCGACGAUCCCUAGCUGGUCUGAGAGGAUGACCAGCCACACUGGAACUGAGACACGGUCCAGACUCCUACGGGAGGCAGCAGUGGGGUAUAUUGCACAAUGGGCGCAAGCCUGAUGCAGCCAUGCCGCGUGUAUGAAGAAGGCCUUCGGGUUGUAAAGUACUUUCAGCGAGGAGGAAGGCGUUGUGGUUAAUAACCUCAGCGAUUGACGUUACUCGCAGAAAAAGCACCGGCUAACUCCGUGCCAGCAGCCGCGGUAAUACGGAGGGUGCAAGCGUUAAUCGGAAUUACUGGGCGUAAAGCGCACGCAGGCGGUCUGUUAAGUCAGAUGUGAAAUCCCCGGGGCUCAACCUGGGAACUGCAUCUGAA
RNAcentral lists this ribosomal RNA (589 nucleotides) under bacterium SRCpl.01. RNAcentral describes it as "bacterial SSU rRNA". It matches the Rfam family "Bacterial small subunit ribosomal RNA", at positions 53 to 631 of the family's 1533-position model. The record is from RNAcentral.